Molecule: ribosomal RNA, 301 nt
Filed under: uncultured bacterium
Lineage: Bacteria
Description: partial 16S ribosomal RNA
Rfam family: Bacterial small subunit ribosomal RNA
Source: RNAcentral
CAGCGCCACGGUAAUACGUAGGUGGCAAGCGUUGUCCGGAAUUAUUGGGCGUAAAGGGCUCGCAGGCGGUUUCUUAAGUCUGAUGUGAAAACCCCCGGCUCAACCGGGGAGGGUCAUUGGAAACUGGGAAACUUGAGUGCAGAAGAGGAGAGUGGAAUUCCACGUGUAGCGGUGAAAUGCGUAGAGAUGUGGAGGAACACCAGUGGCGAAGGCGACUCUCUGGUCUGUAACUGACGCUGAGGAGCGAAAGCGUGGGGAGCGAACAGGAUUAGAUACCCGAGUAGUCCCUGUCUCUUAUACA